CACGCAAUCACCGCUUCCGAAGUCCUCACGUCACCCAGUAUUUGAUCUUCUCUUUUCCCAGCCUUUUUCCAAUCUUCAUCUUAAUCUUCUAAUGUUGCUGGUUUUGGCUUUGCGCCGGUCUCUGCAAAGUUGGGUGUGUGGUGAUGGACCAUUCAAGCUCCACGGUGGGUUCGCUCUCCGCCUCACCGUCACGUCGAGCGCGGAGCGCGACUGGGCUUCAGGGAGAGUGAGAGAGAGAUGGCCUCCAGUACGCGGCUGGUAUAUUCUGCAAUCACAAGGAGUCUCCACAAUACCAUCAGAGCUGCAGAGGCUUCAGAACGCGGAUUGAUCGGAGCGUGCGAUAGGAUUAAUCGUACAACUGAGAGUGCCUGCCGAAGUCCGUCGAACCCAUUCGAAUCUUUUCGGUGUUUCGGCUGACGGUGUCCGAUUGAGGUUUCAUCUCCUCGCCGUGCAACUCGUUUGGAACUUCCAAUUAAACUGGGUUCAGCAGCCAGUUCAGUGCAGCAUUAGGCACUGGUAGAUCCAUAUUUAGAACAUUAACCAAAGAUAGAUGUGGCGCAUUCUAGUGGCCAGCUUUCGACGCCGACCCAAGUUCAAGACGACUGUUGACAAUACUAGGAAGUCGCCAAGGACGUUCUUCGCAGAGGACGGACCGCUUUCAUCACGGUCCGAUGGUUGUGUGGUGUGGAGCCUUUCUUCGCUACUUUUAACAAAGCUCUUGCUGCUGUUGUGAAAGAUCUCUUCAAACUUUCGCAAGCACGAUCUCGUUGGCACGUAGCCAACAUAUUCGAUGCUGCUGAUGUUUAUGACGAGGCCACAGCAACCAGCCCUGUCUGACUCCAUUGAUCGGACGCCGCAGGGCCUCACAAGUAGAUCAGCUUCUCCCAGUCAAGCACCGGGUCUCCACCCAGUCAAAUUCACUUGCUCAUUUCAUAUUGUUUUAAUAACCAGUUAAUAAAAAAAACAGUAAUUUCUCACUUUGUAUGUUUAUAAAGAUAGAGAAAAAUGAAAGUGGUUGUAACGUGAAAGUGUGGACUGUAUGUUAAAGAGUAACUUGA
Physcomitrium patens is the source of this 1058-nucleotide non-coding RNA. The record is from RefSeq and is a predicted model, not a curated record. Lineage: Eukaryota; Viridiplantae; Streptophyta; Bryopsida; Funariales; Funariaceae.